CCCUCCCCCACCCCACCCCCACUUUUUUUGGUUGUCGUCUUCUUUGGGGUGGGAGGGGGGAUCCAGUGCUUCCCCUCCCCCACUCACCCCUUUUCUUUUGCGAGUGUCUGCAGCUUCUCUUCCAGGGAUGGAAUUGCAAAAAAGAGCAAGCAGCCCCCUCUGCAGAAGGUUCACAGCUCAAGGCCCAGCCCUGAGCCCAGCCGCAGGUGGGGACCCUGUGGCCUCUUUUCAAGGCUCUGAGGAGGAAGGGACCUUUCUGCUCCUAGGGCUGGGUCACCUGUGCAUCUUCUACAGCAGCCUGGGGCGAAGGCCGUGAAGCAACCGAGGAACCAAAUUGGCUGAGAAUUGUCAUUCAUUUAAAAAAAAAGAAAGAAAGAAA
Molecule: long non-coding RNA, 379 nt
Filed under: Rattus norvegicus (Norway rat)
Lineage: Eukaryota; Metazoa; Chordata; Mammalia; Rodentia; Muridae
Description: long non-coding RNA NONRATT024472
Source: RNAcentral